RNAcentral lists this ribosomal RNA (429 nucleotides) under Chloroflexota bacterium. RNAcentral's name for it is "Chloroflexi bacterium partial 16S ribosomal RNA". It matches the Rfam family "Bacterial small subunit ribosomal RNA", at positions 355 to 776 of the family's 1533-position model. The record is from RNAcentral. Lineage: Bacteria; Bacillati; Chloroflexota.
UGGGGAAUAUUGCACAAUGGGCGCAAGCCUGAUGCAGCCAUGCCGCGUGUAUGAAGAAGGCCUUCGGGUUGUAAAGUACUUUCAGCGGGGAGGAAGGGAGUAAAGUUAAUACCUUUGCUCAUUGACGUUACCCGCAGAAGAAGCACCGGCUAACUCCGUGCCAGCAGCCGCGGUAAUACGGAGGGUGCAAGCGUUAAUCGGAAUUACUGGGCGUAAAGCGCACGCAGGCGGUUUGUUAAGUCAGAUGUGAAAUCCUCGGGCUCAACCUGGGAACUGCAUCUGAUACUGGCAAGCUUGAGUCUCGUAGAGGGGGGUAGAAUUCCAGGUGUAGCGGUGAAAUGCGUAGAGAUCUGGAGGAAUACCGGUAGCGAAGGCGGCCCCCUGGACGAAGACUGACGCUCAGGUGCGAAAGCGUGGGGAGCAAACAGG